This 809-nucleotide ribosomal RNA is filed under the name bacterium. RNAcentral's name for it is "bacterial SSU rRNA". It matches the Rfam family "Bacterial small subunit ribosomal RNA", at positions 1 to 617 of the family's 1533-position model. The record is from RNAcentral.
UAUACUUAGAGUUUGAUCCUAGCUCAGGGUGAACGCUGGCGGCAUGGAUAAGGCAUGCAAGUCACGGGGGCCGCAAGGCAACCGGCAGACGAGGUAGUAACACGUAGGAACGUACCCCAGAGUCUGGUAUAGCUCGCCGAAAGGCGGGGUAAUCCCAGAUAGUCCCCUUACCACUUUUGCACUUCAGAAAAAUAAAAUGUACUCGUGUCAUGCUCGCAUGGCAUGGAUAUUGUUAUAAAAAUUGGAGAUCAAAAGUGGUAAGGGGUAAAGGAGCAAUUCGCUCCGGGAGCGGCCUGCGUUGUAUCAGCUAGUUGGUAGGGUAAUGGCCUACCAAGGCUAUGACGCAUAGGGGCGCUGAGAGGCGGACCCCCACCGAUGGAAUUGAGAUACGGUCCAUACUCCUACGGGAGGCUGCAGUCGAGAAUCUUCGGCAAUGGGCGAAAGCCUGACCGAGCGAUGCCGCGUGGUGGAUGAAGCGCUUCGGCGCGUAAACACCUUUUAUGAGGGAGAAAGCUGUGCCUCACUAUUGUUCGGCACCGCAGAACAUCGCAGAACGAACGCAGAAGGUCGCAGAAGUAAAUGCAUCCCGCAUUUUUUCUGCGUAAUUCAGCGUCAAGUCUGCGUAAGUCUGCGCUGUGGCGAGUGAUAGCGAGGCACAGAUUGAUGUUACCUCAUGAAUAAGGGGCUCCUAACUCUGUGCCAGCAGGAGCGGUAAUACAGAGGCCCCAAGCGUUACCCGGAAUUACUGGGCGUAAAGAGUGCGUAGGUGGUCGUGUUAGUCGUUUGUUAAAUCUCCCGGCUCAACCGGG